This is a non-coding RNA of Acanthosepion pharaonis, 104 nucleotides long. NCBI's taxonomy places the organism in Eukaryota, Metazoa, Mollusca, Cephalopoda, Sepiida, Sepiidae. The record is from the annotation of a GenBank genome assembly.
UACCACGUUGAAACGCCGAUUCUCGUACGAUCACCGAAGUUAAGCAACGUUGAGACUGGUCAGUACCCAGAUGGGUGACCGCUUGAGAAUACCAGGUGGUGUAA